UAAUUCAAAGCCAAGAAAUGGAAUCAAUCACACAUUCAUAUUCAUGUUUAGCAUGUAAGGUGGUCUAUUUAUGGACCGAGAUGUCGCACCUUUUGCCCAAAUAAAGAAGGUUCCAGCUUCGAAACUAAGGAGGUGCAACCUAGGACUCAAACACAAGUAGACCUUGUUAGUGGUUGUAGGAGAUUUUUGAUUCUGGUCGGAGUGGUUGGAGAUGGCCGGAGAUGGCUGGUGCGAUG
Molecule: long non-coding RNA, 236 nt
Filed under: Elaeis guineensis (African oil palm)
Lineage: Eukaryota; Viridiplantae; Streptophyta; Magnoliopsida; Arecales; Arecaceae
Description: long non-coding RNA (EGUI_LNC031552)
Source: RNAcentral